AUUGAACGCUGGCGGCAGGCCUAACACAUGCAAGUCGAACGGUAACAGGAAGAAGCUUGCUUCUUUGCUGACGAGUGGCGGACGGGUGAGUAAUGUCUGGGAAACUGCCUGAUGGAGGGGGAUAACUACUGGAAACGGUAGCUAAUACCGCAUAACGUCGCAAGACCAAAGAGGGGGACCUUCGGGCCUCUUGCCAGUGGAUGUGACCAGAUGGGAUUAGCUAGUAGGUGGGGUAACGGCUCACCUAGGCGACGAUCCCUAGCUGGUCUGAGAGGAUGACCAGCCACACUGGAACUGAGACACGGUCCAGACUCCUACGGGAGGCAGCAGUGGGGAAUAUUGCACAAAGGGCGCAAGCCUGAUGCAGCCAUGCCGCGUGUAUGAAGAAGGCCUUCGGGUUGUAAAGUACUUUCAGCGGGGAGGAAGGGAGUAAAGUUAAUACCUUUGCUCAUUGACGUUACCCGCAGAAGAAGCACCGGCUAACUCCGUG
Molecule: ribosomal RNA, 490 nt
Filed under: uncultured bacterium
Lineage: Bacteria
Description: partial 16S ribosomal RNA
Rfam family: Bacterial small subunit ribosomal RNA
Source: RNAcentral